RNAcentral lists this ribosomal RNA (357 nucleotides) under Ovalipes punctatus. RNAcentral's name for it is "partial 12S ribosomal RNA". The record is from RNAcentral. Lineage: Eukaryota; Metazoa; Arthropoda; Malacostraca; Decapoda; Ovalipidae.
ACUAAAAAGAAGCUUGUAGGCCAAACUAUUAAUAGAUAUGUUCUUUAAAUUUGAAGAAUUUGGCGGUGAUUUAGUCUUGUCAGAGGAACCUGUUUUUGAAUCGAUAAACCACGUAAAAUCUUGCUUGAUUUUGUUUUCAGUUUGUAUACCGUCAUUAUCAGAUAAUUUUUAUAGAAUAAAUUGUUAAGUAAGUCUAAAACUAAAAAAUUAGAUCAAGGUGCAGCUUAUAGUCAAGCUAAAAUGGGUUACAAUAAACUUUAAUUUAUUAUGGAUAGAGUGAAGAAAUAUGCUCUGGAAAGAGGAUUUGAUUGUAAAAAGAAAUUAGUAUGUUCUUUAGAUAUAAGCCCUAAAUCAUGU